RNAcentral lists this long non-coding RNA (8998 nucleotides) under Salmo salar (Atlantic salmon). RNAcentral describes it as "lncRNA (ENSSSAG00000115016.1)". The record is from RNAcentral. Lineage: Eukaryota; Metazoa; Chordata; Actinopteri; Salmoniformes; Salmonidae.
ACACACACACACACACACACACACACACACACACACACACACACACACACACACACACACACACACACACACACAUCCUCCCCACCACGUUACAUUCUGAAUGGAUAAGCCUGUUAACGCUCAAACAUCAUUUCUCUCUCAUUACAACUGUUUCAAACGUGAUAUUUAAGUGAGCUCUUCUGUGCUAUCCCUCUCACAUUCUCUGUCAUUACUUUUGUUUACCUCUCAUUCCAUUGUUCCUGCAUACAUUAUCACCUAUUAUCAUUGUCUGAAUGCCGUGCUGUGAAAUACUGUUGUCUGCCCCUUGGUAAAAAAAAACUUCUCUCCCUCCUUUCUCUCUCAUUUUCCCUCUGGCUGCCUCCUUUUACAGGGUAAUAUAUUGUGAUUGUCGUUUAAUUAAUAGCCUGUCUGUGGCAGAAGGGGAAUCGGGAACACAGUCUUCCACCCAGCUCAAAUGUAACAGAACAUUCUCAAUGCCAAUUUGUUCAUCCAUACUAACAAAUUUAUGCUUUUUUAAAUCCUAAGAUUCUGUAAAGAUUUUACAUCUGUGAAUUAUUGAGAAUUGUUCUCCCAUAAACAACCAUUAAUAUGCUGGCUGUUAUAGACACAAGGUAGUUGAAGCAGGGGGACAGUAACCCCCAGCGUACUCAGUGAGUUAAGAUACGUUUAGGUUUUCCAACAUUGUAACUAUGAAUUAUAUUUUAAACACAUGCCUCUGAUUAUCCUUUAAGUUAUUAUUUUAACAGUGCAACAUCAUUUAAAAAAUAGCUAAUUUAGGGCUUUAAACUAAUUUGAUAAUUUGUGCAAACACACACACACACACACACACACACACACACACACACACACUGAGACACACUGAGACACAUUUACUAACACACACAGACAUAAAUACAUAGAAAAACGGGGGGAGAGGGGCUGCUUUUCUAGGGGGCACUCUCAUGGUUUUGGCGCUAAUGCAGGCAUCUGGCAGUGUCUGGUCUGGAGCGUCUUUCCCACCCCAUUACCCCCUGUGUCUCCUGCAGCACCCACCCACACAAUGGUGGGAAAGAGGGGUGGUGGACCUCCGUCAAGAGCUCUCCUCACAAAGCAGUCAUUGUGGAGGGGAGCCAGGAGCAGAAUGAUAAUGUGGACUCCAUCUACUGUUUACCAACAGGCAGACUAGCUACAGACAGACAGCUGCAGUACACAGUACACUACACCGACCUGCAGCCCUGCAGCCCUGCAGCCCAGGCUCAAAGAUCACAGCUCUCUGUUGCUCUCUGCUCUGUUCCCCAGUGCCAGGGGCUAAAAGAAACAUUUAACAGGAAUCUGUAUGGUUGUUUUGUACGUGUGUGUGUGUGUGUGUGUGUGUGUGUGUAGCUAGUCCUUUGCUUCUUCCAGUAAGCUUCUUUAUAUCUGCCCAUCCCUGUAUUCUACACAGUGACACAUCUGCGAUGGAGGCCUUGAGAAUAUGCAAAUCAGGUAUGAGGAGGCCCCUCCCCCCCGUGGAGAGACUGCUAGUCUAAUUAAAGCUUGCUUGGGCAUUAAAGGCACAGUUGUCCUUUGUUGUAUUAAAGGCAUAGUGGAUUUCCUUCAUCAUAAUAAAGGCACAUUUUUUUCUUUGUUAUGUUAAAGCUACAGUAAUCUUUGAUUGUAGUAAAAUACAUAGUGGUUAAUCAUUUAUCAUCCCAUGAUGAAUACAUGCGAGUAUGGGUAGGCUAGGCUACUGUAGAUCUUUCAUCCAAUGCAUGUAAGAUGUAUAAUCACUCAACAAGCAUUGUGAUCUUAUUUUUUGUGUACAAACAAUUAAGCAUACAUUUUUGGGGAUAUGAAUUAAUGUUGCUCCAAAUGAAUGCUAUUUCCCUACAUGAUUUAGUGGGGUAUUAUCCCUAAAUCAAAAUCUCAUAGAAACAUAAUAUAACAUAUUAGGUGGUACGUGUCUAUAGACCUAUUUUUUUUGUAAUUAAAUGAAAUCAUAGUUUAACAAUUGACAUUAUAUUUAACAUAUAUGAGGCAUUAGUCUAUAUGUAUUAUAAGUCACUCUCUCUUUGUAUCUGGUGUGGUUUUGUAUGGCUGCCAUAAAGGCUUCAUAAAAAGAUACCCCACUGUAAGGGAUGAUCUACACUGGCUUUUACAUUUCAUUAGUUACAGUAAAGGGACUUCAGGAUUUAAGGGAUAUUCGGUUAAACUGGAUAUUUUUACAUUUGGCAAAAAUGUAUCCCACAUCUUCCACUUUGCUGUCGCGUGUCUCGUGCAGCUAAACCCCACGCGCAUACAAGGCUGCAGCCCGCGCCUCUAAUGUGCUGCUGUGCCUUUAAAGAGGGCUCUCUCCUCGUUUCUAUGCAAUUAUGUUAAUAUACAGAGCUUGUCUGGUGCUCUUCAUUAACCGCUGCAGUUGCAUCAUUGUUUCCUUUAUUUGUUAUCUCUGUAAAGCCAAUGAUUCAGCAACAGGCUAUAUUUUGGUGUUUUCUUCCUUACAAAUAUGUGGUCUUUAAUAGUGAUGGAUGAAGUAGGCCGUAUGUAAAGUAUUUUUUAUAAAUAUUAGCGUUUAUUUGUGGUUUUCUAUUGCAAAUGAUCCUAUCUCAAGGUCGUGCUUUGCAUCGGGUUUGUGUUGGACAUCGGUUUCUAAAUAGGCAGACAAGGUCCUACCUUCAGUGAGUAUGCGAAUAAUUCCUUGUUCAGAAGAAUAUGAUUAUUUAUUUUCGAUAUCAAAUAUUUUCAGUACAUUGUGAGAUUACAUACAUUUAAUAUUGCAUUGCAGUCUGUGUAAUAUUAGACUUUGUGAAAUGCAGUUUAACGUUAUAUCAACCACAUAACCUACAUUAGGUAGCCUACCCUUUUUUCAUUUAUCAUGCCAUAUUCAUAUUCCUAGCUUGUUAACAUAAUUGUCCAGCUAAUUGUCUCAACGUGUAAUUUCUAAGUUGCAUAGCAACAGCAGUCUGUGCAAUGAAAGCAAUGACCUGCUCUGAUCAUUAGAAUCAUUUCAUCCAGUACUGUGACCAAGAGACAUAUUUUCAGUUCAAGGUGAGGUGCCUAUACGGUAAACUUCAAUACCUAUGUCCUCUCAAACUACUAUAGAAACAUCUAUAGUGUAUAAAAAUAUAUUGUAUAGAAAUACAUUUGCCCUGUUAUAUUGACUGAUAAUUUAAAGCUAUGAAAAAAUCCUACUGCAAUUAUAGUCUUCACCAUAACCCAGAUGAUAAUAUAAACAGAACAUGUCGUACAGUACACCAUCCAACAUGACUGGUAGGCCUAGCCUACAGUACUGUCAAUCGUGUUUCCCUCUCUAUGAUAAACACACAGAUACAAUCAUAGUUGCUGUUGUCUUAUUUUGUGAAUAUGCACAUUUUUUAUGACAGAUGUAAAUAAAUAAAAAAGUGCUGAUAAUAAGGAUAUAUAAACUGUAGUUAAUCUCUGUUAUACAUAAAGACAACAUCUGAAAUGACUGAAACUAAUUUGGGCUAAAUGAGUCACCCCCUGUGCACAUUUGUUCUUUUUUUGAAUAGUUUUUAGCUUAAUAUCAAGUAGACAAAGUGACCAAGAGUGGAAGUAAACAAUGAGGUGCAAUGAUGGAAAAUGAAAAGGCCUAUCACUUUGUAUUAUGUAAUUCCAUGUGCAACGUAAGCAAUAUCCAGAUCUUUGAGAUUACAGUAUAUACAGGAACAAUUGUAGCUCGAAGACAUCUGGUAGGGUGCAUAUGAAUGUGCAAAUGAUGUACAAUAGUCGUGAAACACAGAAGAUGUACGUAGGUAUUAGACACAUUAUAGUAUGAGGUAUGAAUGCAUACACCAUAGACGUAUCGCGAGUGAGACAGAAGUUGUAAGCUAAGUAUGAGAAAGCAGUGGGUUUAGAUGUGAGACACAUAUGUAAGAUGUAUGUAUGAGACAAACAGCGGUUUGAGAUGUGAGGGUUGAUUGUAGGUUUGAGACAGAUUGAAGGUGUAAUGACUAAAGAAAGAGUGAGCUAGCUCUGCUCUGUGGCUGAAGGCCACAAGGACGUCAUCAUCAUCUCACAUGACCAGAUUUAUGUAACCUGAGAGUGCAAGGAUUGUGUGUGUGUGUGUGUGUGUGUGUGUGUGUGUGUGUGUGUGUGUGUGUGUGUGUGUGUGUGUGUGUGUGUGUGUGUGUGUGUGUGUGUGUGUGUGUGAGAGAGAGAGAGAGAGAAAGAUAUAUGUUCAAAAUUAGGAUUAUUUAAGAGAUAAAUAUUUAUUCAUAUGGAAAUACGUCUAUUUAAUGUGGUGUAUUGUAAAAAAAAAAGAUAACUGCUUGUUUGUUGCCAUGUGUGCUGAACGCACAUGACAAUCAAACAUUCAUACAAGGCUAUUGUCAGUUCGUUAAUGCAAUGCCUCGUUAACAUCUAAACAGUAAUGGAUGGGGCUGCUUUUUCUCUAGCCUACAAGCGUUCAUUUAUUUAAUAUCUCCUAAGCCCUGCCACACUCGUUAGCCAGUUCAGACUGGAGAGGGUAAGAUGAGGGCUGACAGAGGCUAGCCUACUGAUGAGGGGACUGAUGGAUAAAAGCCUGAUAGAACCAAUGGUGCAGCCAGCCCUACCUCAUGCCAACACAGCCAUUUUAGGAGCAGCAGCAAGACUCUCCAUCAAGAUGGCUUCCGUAGCUCAGCCCCAGUCAGUCACACAGAGUCCUCUGGCUGCCUGCGAGGGGGGCCGCUCUAACUGGCAGCUCCUUUGUCCCCGUUGGCACAGGGUGGAGGCAUCUCGCCCGUCCUUUUCUCCGGGGGCACAGAUGGCACCAAAGGCUUCCGGUGAUGGAGAUUUAAGGGAAGAGGGACAAGGGGGUUGGCCUUUUUCUUCCCCUCCUGCUUUUUCCUUUUUUUGUGACGACUGUGCCACUUUCCCCUCGCUCAAUCCAGACCUGGUGUGAAUGGCUGGCAGUCACUGUGGAGGAAAUAAAGCACAAAACAGACCCCCUUUUAUCACUGCCAUGGCAACUACCACAUAAUCUGUCUUUAGGGAAAUAAAAGGACAGAAACUGUAAUUCCUUUGUAUCCGACACAGUCACACCACUACAAGGUACUAGACUCUGGGUGAAGCUUUUGAUAGUAAUCCUAAUAGAGUACAGUCUGGUUAUUUGACUCAAGCAAUGGUGUACAGUAGGCUGUAUGGCAUAUAUUGCACUGGCUUUGUGCUACCCAUAGUGGCUGCAAUGUUGCUUUAGUGUGUAUGUGAGCCGGCUGUCGUUUCAGACCGUGGGAGAGGAUCAGUGUAUUAGAGACAAUAGAGAACGAGCCGCUCUCAACAUCAUUAAUUAAUUAAAGGGGUUGCCAGCUCGUCAGAGAGUGGUUAGAUGCCGGGGAGAAAAAACAUUACCCGCCAGCCACCCUAGAUCUUGCCAGCAAAAAAUGCUUUGUUGUGGUGCGUUGUCCCGUUUAGCAUAUGGUCUGAUGCAAAGAGCGCACUAGUUCAUCAGUACUUAUUUAUUUCACAAAAAAAGAUUCAUGAGUAAAUUGAUGUAAAAGACACUCGUAAUACUAAUUUCUAUUUUAGCGUUCUAAUCUAUGCCUUCGUGAAUAAAAGGAGGAAAUAUAGUUUCAGGCUGUAAGAUGUACUCAGAAGAGCAAUCUGAUUGGUACUGUGGCAAGUCAAAUGAAUUUAGCGUCCAUAAAGGAGGUUAUUCUAUGAUUAGCCUAUAAAAGCAGAGAAUGAGAGGGAGUGGGAGAUGGAGACUGUAGUUCCUCCAUCUUCAGGGAGAAUGCAUUUUUGAAGAUCAGUGAGGAACGUGGGUGGUGGGUGGGUGCCUGGUCGGGAAAACAAAACCCAGAUGAGAUGAAACAGGCAGACAGCCUCUUUGUAAACAGAAUGGAUUCAGAGGAAAGAAGUGGAUGAAGCAGAUGCUGAAGUUUCAGCGUUUUCCCUCCUUUACUCCUCUGCUCUUUCCUUCUUUCUGUAGUACAAAGCUGAAGGCAGCAGCGUCAGAACCUGACGACUACAGGGAGCAGGCUCAGAUCUGGGUCACACUGCCACCAGCACAAACCAGGAACAUACUGGAGCUUUUACCCAUCUUCAUCUCCACCAAGGCUCCCAUGGAGGCAUAGAGAAACAUGAAGCCAAGAGGCACAGAGCUGCAUCCGAGCACCUGUCAUUCACACCCCCAUUGGUUCAUGUUCAUGUUCUGUUUUCAACCUCUCUCUCAUAUUCUCUCCUCUCAUCAUGCCUCUCUAGAUCUGCCAUUGGGUGUUACUCUACCAUAUAAUAUGCACAUGUACUGUAUACCUUUCUUACCAUAUAGUAGACAGCGUGUGCUGUUCACACUGCAGAGUUUCUGUGUGUAUCUCAGGCAGCCACUGCAGUGACAAGGGCACUGGAUCAACCUUUGACAAUAACAAAGACAUUUCCAAAUACAAUACAAUGCAAUAGUGAAAAAAAAGCAAAAACACAUCCAUUAAAACAAUACGCUUGAAUUCUCAUCACUAACAUUCAGCGACAAUUAAUUUGAUCAUUGUCGGGUUAUAGAAUAGUCAUGCCAAGGGUUCUUCUACAACAUUCAAAGGACACGUUUAUAUGGAUUAGGCCUAGAGAAGAAUUGAGUGGUGAGAUAGGUGUGGUUGAAUUAGAUAAUGUCUCCAUUCUUCUUUGUUGGGACUUGUAUGGACCAGAGCCUGCAUUACAGUUAAUGAUGAGGAGAUUCAGAUAGGCAGGCUGGAGGUGGUGGACACAAGGCUUUUGUUUUGAGUAUAGUAGAGGUACAAUCAGAAUGCAGUUAGUGAAGAAAGGUGAAGGGUACAAUAAAUAAUAAUAGAUGGAUAUUUUAAACAUAUAUUGAGAUUGAUUAGAAUAUGAAGUGUUCAAAUCAAGUGAGUUAAUAGUAGUUGUUCAUUUCCAUCAUCAACAACUAGCCUACUUUCAGUAUUAAAAGACCUGAGGAGGAAUGUAGAUAUCGGGCUACACUUGGGUAAUGUAAAGGCCUACACUUGGGUAAUGUAAAGCUCACAAUAGACGUCAAGAGGAUGCGGUUUUGGUUAAGGACGAGAUUAUCAGAGUAGCGACUUGUAGGCCCUACGUCACUGUGUUGACCAGUGGAAAUUCUAAAUUGUCUGGUGACACACUAGAAUGGAGAGAUCCGUCCGGUCGUGGGAAAAGCUCGCUUGGACGUUUCACAAAUCCACCGUAUAGCCUCCUUUACUGAAUCAAACCAAUUAGCCAGGAGCGCGCUCCAGCCAUUGAGCGCCACUGUAGGCUCUGAGAGGAGUUGUUGGUUGAAUGAAAAUCCAUCCCCGGAUUUGGUUCUCCAAGAGAAGCUAUAGAAGUUGCCUUUUGAGGGACAGCUAUAGCACCGUGAAGGGCCAGGCAGAAAGUCCAAAUUGAGACACUUGAAUAAUUUGGGCCGAUUAGGUGUGCACACAAUGCGUCAAAGUAUUGUGUGACUCACAUGGGAGGUAUAACGCAUUUCAAAUCUACAAAAACCAUGAAUAUCUUAAGUGUUCUUCCUUUCUAGGUAACACGACUCAAUGUGAGAACACAACUACAUUUUUCUAUUUUUGAAAUGAUGUGUUUAUGUAAUGACAUGGAUCGCUUGACUUAAUAUCGACUGAAAGAUAUCAUUAGCCUACGCUUUUUCAGAAUUUCAGUGCAAGGGCUAGGUAAAGCCUACAUAGCUCAUCUUAAUCAGGACCGUCUUUUUCAUAGGCGUUGGUCUACAGUAGGCCUAAAUACGUCAUAAAGGCUAAUAUCGGCCAUUUUCUGGAAAAUUAAAACGUUUCCACAUUUUUAAGAAUGAAAUCAAUAUGAGCUACAAAUCUUAAUCCAUUUCAUUAAACCAUAAUUCCAUAUGUGUUUGCGUGUACGUAAACCUGAUUUAUGCAGUGAGAACUAUAAGGAAUACAGCAUCAACUAUGGAUACUUUGAUGCAACAAAGCUUUAUUCAUAUUCAGGCCUGAAUACCAAUUGUUACAGUUCACUCAUGUGACUGGAUAAAGUUAUGUAUUCCUCUGACUGGAAAAAAAGCCUUUUUAUGAAGUAUUUUUCGUUUUAGAAGAUGUUUUAGGCAAAAACACUCCAUAUGCUUUGCGUGAUGGAAUAAAUAAAUAUAUAAAGAUCAUUCAAGCUCCAAGCAUACUAAACAAAACUGGGACAAAUAUACACUUCAAUUCACAGCAUGAUUGUAGAAAAUUUUGACUUUUCAUUUAAAGGCAUGCUAUAAAGAUGAUCCUACUUAUAUUUUGAGAAUAUCUUCUCUAAAUUAAAUAUGAAAACGUAUUAAAAAUAAUUUCGGGUUGUAGCAGGUUUUGAGGAAUUCAGAAGUGUUUCAACAGAUGUUUAUAAUAAGUGAUUAGGGGAAAUUGUUAUAACUUACCGGAAAGGCACUGAGGUAUUGGCCUGUAAUUGCAUAUCAAUUAUGUUAUGUGUCUUUACUCCCAGACACCAUUUAUUCCUGUCCGAGUCGCAGGUUUGGAGGACAUUCCUACUUUCGGUUAGCUAGCUUUAUGACGGCCGAGUAACACUCAUACAGCUAGAUAACCAAAGAUAGCAACCGACUCCUUCUCGUACAUACUGCCAGAGUAUCGUAUGGGUUCCACCUAACAUGGAAAAUAAACAUUUUGUUAAUGCAAUAAUUAGCCUAAUAACGAUAUUGCUACCACCAAUUGGUAUCCAUAAAUGUGCCCCCUUCCCCCCAAAAAGAUAAUAAUAAUAAAUAGGCCUACAUCAAUAGACAUCAAUAGAAAUAUCUCUGAUUAUUAGUUGAUGUGCAGGCCAUGGGGUCGAUGAAUAAGACCCUGGGAAAGGUUUUAAUCUCUCCAUCUCUAACUAUUCUCACCGAUAUAGACCCGUGCAUGGUGACAUCACUAGCAUGUUAGCCUAUAGGCCUACAAGCCUGGCCUGGACGUGCAACCAGCUUCCCGCCUUUUGUGAAAGAUCCUUAAAUUCUGCAGAACUUAAAUCAUCGCCAUAUUAAAUCCUGAGUCACUUUAGAGUAAAUCGAUCAAUAGACUCUCAACCAGUGGAGGACUUGGCUAACAUUGAAAUGUUCUAUUUAUAGGCCUAUAGCUCUGCUCCCAUACAC